UGUGUAUCAGUACAUAGGCAUAUCAAUAAGCGGAGGAAAAGAAACUAACAAGGAUUCCCUAGUAACGGCGAGUGAAGCGGGAAGAGCUCAAAUUUGAAAUCUUCAAGGUUCUACCUUGACGAAUUGUAGUUUAUAGAAGUGUUUUCUGUUAGUAGAGUGGCAAAAGUUCUUUGGAAUAGGACAUCAUAGAGGGUGAGAAUCCCGUAUUUGGUCAUUCUUUCUAGCUUUGUGAUACACUUUCAACGAGUCGGAUUGUUUGGGAAUGCAGUCCAAAAUGGGUGGUAAAUUUCAUCUAAAGCUAAAUAUUGGCGAGAGACCGAUAGCGAACAAGUACCGUGAGGGAAAGAUGAAAAGAACUUUGAAAAGAGAGUUAAACAGUACGUGAAAUUGUCAAAAGGGAAGCGUUUGACACCAGUGUUGUCUUUCCGAAAAUCAAUUACGAAUGUUUUGUUUUUGAGAAGUUAUGACUUCAUCGGCUUGCUUCUCUCUUUACGAAACUUUCUUAAUGCACUUUUCGGUUAACAAGUCAACAUCAAUUUCUUUUGUUGUAAAAGGGUAUGAGGAAGGUGGCUUUCUUUUCGGAGAAAGUGUUUAUAGCCUUGUACCUCUGCAAUCGGAGAGAUUGAGGUCUGCAGCGUAGAUCCUUCGGGGUUAGAUACAUAUGUGCUAAGUUAUAGCUUUUCAUAGACAACUUGUUGACUAUGUUAAGUCUUGUAGCUUACUCGCUUAUGCUAUUUUACCUACGCUUAGGAUGUUGACAGCAGUAUAGACUGU
This 774-nucleotide ribosomal RNA is filed under the name uncultured Neocallimastigales. Its description in RNAcentral is "partial large subunit ribosomal RNA". It matches the Rfam family "Eukaryotic large subunit ribosomal RNA", at positions 22 to 629 of the family's 3401-position model. Lineage: Eukaryota; Fungi; Neocallimastigomycota; Neocallimastigomycetes; Neocallimastigales. The record is from RNAcentral.